CGGAGAGCGUAGAAGGCUCCACAAAAUCUGAGGCCUUUAUCUUCCCGCGAAACGUUUCUACAUUUUUCCCCCGACCUCUGACAUUAUCAAUGGCGUCAAUAUCGGCCAUUGGCUAUCUUCCGCAGUCCCUGACGUUAUCUGCUUCAAGAGCUUCACCUGCAAAGUGGCGCCGACCAGUAGUGGCUCAAUCUUUUCAGCGAUACUAUGGAGUUUUUUAUUCAAGUUCUUGCGGUGAAAGUAAUCCAAUUGCUUAUAGACAUGAUUUUGUGCGAAGAAAAGUUUUGAUAUCAACAAUUGGGGUGUUAGCUGGAGCCAUGUGGAAUCCUUCGAGCGAUAUGGAGGCCGUAGCAUCUGAAUUUGCUGACAUGCCAGCACUUAGGGGCAAGGAUUAUGGCAAAACGAAAAUGAGAUAUCCGGACUACAUAGAAACAGAAUCAGGUCUCCAGUAUAAGGAUUUGCGUGUAGGAACUGGCCCCAGGCCGACAAUGGGAGAGACAGUAGUGGUUGAUUGGGAUGGGUACACCAUAGGAUACUAUGGCCGGAUAUUUGAAGCUCGAAACAAAACAAAAGGUGGUUCGUUUGAGGGGGAUGACAAGGACUUCUUCAAAUUUAGACUGGGAUCACAGGAGGUAAUACCAGCUUUUGAGGAAGCUGUUUCAGGAAUGGCUCUGGGUGGCAUCAGGAGAACUUUGACCAUGCUAAUCAGCUCACGUGAUGCAGGAUCAUUGUUCCCCCAGAACUAGGAUAUCCUGAGAAUGACUAUAACAAGAGUGGUCCGAAACCGACAACAUUUUCGGGUCAACGAGCAUUAGAUUUUGUCUUGAAGAAUCAAGGGCUGAUAGAUAAGACUCUUCUGUUUGAUAUUGAGCUUCUUAAGAUAAUUCCAAAUUGAUCCCUAGGUCAAUAGACUUAGCUUCCAGCAUCUGCGAAUUGAGGAUGGUAUUGUAUUGCCUCCUUAAAUUUGGAAGAAGAUUUACAAGUUCUCUGGUUUGCCAAUAUUUGUUCUCUCUGUACUUAUACUGAUACACAUUGUGUGGGUCAAUGCAUUAUAUUUUCAGUUACAUUGCGAGGAGGCAUGUCACGAGGAACUAAUAAUCAAUGUGGGAUGCUAAGUUGAUUGCUAUUGAUUAUAUCAUUAUUAUACCGAAACAUAAA
This is an RNA transcript of Carica papaya (papaya), 1155 nucleotides long. It is a transcript of the gene named FKBP-like peptidyl-prolyl cis-trans isomerase family protein, with no coding region annotated. NCBI's taxonomy places the organism in Eukaryota, Viridiplantae, Streptophyta, Magnoliopsida, Brassicales, Caricaceae. The record is from RefSeq and is a predicted model, not a curated record.